RNAcentral lists this ribosomal RNA (218 nucleotides) under Buchnera aphidicola. Its description in RNAcentral is "partial 16S ribosomal RNA". It matches the Rfam family "Bacterial small subunit ribosomal RNA", at positions 767 to 991 of the family's 1533-position model. The record is from RNAcentral. Lineage: Bacteria; Pseudomonadati; Pseudomonadota; Gammaproteobacteria; Enterobacterales; Erwiniaceae. RNAcentral also lists the same sequence under 1 other name.
AGCAAGCGGGAUUAGAUACCCUGGUAGUCUAUGCCGUAAACGAUGAGUGUUCACCCUUGGUGUAAAUCCGGGGCCCAGCUAAUCCGUGAAACACUCCACUUGGGAGUACGGUGGCAAGACCUAAACUCAAAGGAAUUGACAGGGGCUUGCACAAGUGGUGGAGCAUGUGGUUUAAUUUGAUACAUUGCACAAAAACUUAAUGUAGGGCCCACCUUUUA